This 66-nucleotide transfer RNA is filed under the name Pseudomictis brevicornis. Its description in RNAcentral is "tRNA-Phe". The record is from RNAcentral. Lineage: Eukaryota; Metazoa; Arthropoda; Insecta; Hemiptera; Coreidae.
AUUUGGAUAGCUUAAAUUUAAAGCUUAAUAUUGAAGCUAUUAAGAUAAGAUGUUUCUUUCCAAGUA